GAUGAACGCUGGCGGCGUGCCUAAUACAUGCAAGUCGAGCGAACGGACGAGAAGCUUGCUUCUCUGAUGUUAGCGGCGGACGGGUGAGUAACACGUGGUUAACCUACCUAUAAGACUGGGAUAACUUCGGGAAACCGGAGCUAAUACCGGAUAAUAUUUUGAACCGCAUGGUUCAAAAGUGAAAGACGGUCUUGCUGUCACUUAUAGAUGGAUCCGCGCUGCAUUAGCUAGUUGGUAAGGUAACGGCUUACCAAGGCAACGAUGCAUAGCCGACCUGAGAGGGUGGUCGGCCACACUGGAACUGAGACACGGUCCAGACUCCUACGGGAGGCAGCAGUAGGGAAUCUUCCGCAAUGGGCGAAAGCCUGACGGAGCAACGCCGCGUGAGUGAUGAAGGUCUUCGGAUCGUAAAACUCUGUUAUUAGGGAAGAACAUAUGUGUAAGUAACUGUGCACAUCUUGACGGUACCUAAUCAGAAAGCCACGGCUAACUACGUG
RNAcentral lists this ribosomal RNA (497 nucleotides) under uncultured bacterium. RNAcentral's name for it is "partial 16S ribosomal RNA". It matches the Rfam family "Bacterial small subunit ribosomal RNA", at positions 28 to 507 of the family's 1533-position model. The record is from RNAcentral.